AUGCCUUUCAACGGCGCCGACCCGAUGUCCAUAGCGGCGGCGGCGCCGGCUUGGCGCAGGGACUACAAGCUCGACUCGGCCAAGAUCUACGAAACGAAGGUGCAGUCCGACAUCGGCGCGGCACCUCGGCCGACGCUGCGGAGGCUCCACACGGGCCUGCCCGUCCGCAGCCUGCGAGACGACGGCAUCGUUUACUUGCUUGGGAAGAUCGACUACCAGGACAACGAGCAAACGGCGUGGGUGCUCGCCGUUGACAUGGAGACCAGGACGGUGCAGGGAGUGGCUGAGUUUGGGGCAGGCAACGCCAUUGGUUUGGGCCAAGCCUAUAUUGCCAGUGAUGUCUCCAAGUAG
RNAcentral lists this ribosomal RNA (351 nucleotides) under Triticum aestivum (bread wheat). RNAcentral's name for it is "partial small subunit ribosomal RNA". Lineage: Eukaryota; Viridiplantae; Streptophyta; Magnoliopsida; Poales; Poaceae. The record is from RNAcentral.